Molecule: ribosomal RNA, 2924 nt
Filed under: metagenome
Description: bacterial LSU rRNA
Rfam family: Bacterial large subunit ribosomal RNA
Source: RNAcentral
UUAAAUUAAUAAGGGCGUAUGGCGAAUGCCUUGGCACUAGAAGGCGAUGAAGGACGCGACGAACAGCGAAAUGCUACGGGGAGCUGUAAGUAGCUUUGAUCCGGAGAUUUCCGAAUGGGGAAACCCACUAGUAGUAAUGUGCUAGUAUCCUAUAGUGAAUAUAUAGCUAUAGUGAAGCUAACCCGGUGAAUUGAAACAUCUUAGUAACCGGUGGAAGAGAAAGAAAAAUCGAUUCCCUUAGUAGUGGCGAGCGAAAAGGGAAAAGCCUAAACCAGUCUUAGGACUGGGGUUGUAGGACCUUAUAUACGGAGUUACCAAACAAUCAUGUAGUUGAAUUGGCUGGGAAGCCAAACGAUACAAGGUGAUAGUCCUGUAAACGAAACGUGGUUGUCUCCAUAAGGUAUCCUGAGUACAGCGGGACACGUGUAAUCUUGCUGGAAUCUACGGGGACCAUCCCGUAAGGCUAAAUACUCUCUAGUGACCGAUAGUGAACAAGUACUGUGAAGGAAAGGUGAAAAGAACCCCGGGAGGGGAGUGAAAUAGAUAUCCUGAAACCAUAUGCCUACAAGAAGUCAAAGCCCGUUAAUGGGUGAUGGCGUGCCUCUUGCAGAAUGAACCGGCGAGUUAUCAUGACAUGCGAGGUUAAGUGGAAGACACGGAGCCGAAGCGAAAGCGAGUCUUAAUAGGGCGUUUUAGUAUGUUAUGGUAGACCCGAAACCAAGUGAUCUAGCCAUGGACAGGUUGAAGUAGGGGUGAAACCCUAUGGAGGACCGAACCGUAGUACGAUGAAACGUGCACGGAUGAUCUGUGGCUAGUGGUGAAAUGCUAAUCGAACUUGGAGAUAGCUGGUUCUCCCCGAAAUAGCUUUUGGCUAGCCUUGAGAUUAGCUCCCCAGAGGUAGAGCACUGAAUGCAUAAUGGCCCCACACAGGGGUACUGAAUGUAAUCAAACUCCGAAUGCUGGGUGAGUAUGCUCAGGAGUCAGUGUAUGGGUGAUAACGUCCAUACGCGAGAGGAAAAGAAUCCAGACCGUCAGCUAAGGUCCCUAAAUUUGUACUAAGUGGGAAAGGAUGUGGAGUUGUCAAAACAGCUAGGAGGUUGGCUUAGAAGCAGCUACCCUUUAAAGAGUGCGUAAUAGCUCACUAGUCGAAUGACACUGCGCCGAAAAUGUACCGGGGCUAAGUACAAUACCGAAGCUACGGGUUAAUACUCAUGUAUUAAUGGUAGGGGAGCGUUCUAAGGGCGAUGAAGGUAGAUCGUGAGGACUACUGGAGCGCUUAGAAGUGAGAAUGCCGGUGUAAGUAACGAAAGAUGGGUGAGAAUCCCAUCCACCGAUUGCCUAAGGUUUCCUGGGGAAGGCUCGUCCUCCCAGGGUUAGUCGGGUCCUAAGGCCAGGCCGAAAGGCGUAGCCGAUGGACAACAGGUUGAUAUUCCUGUACCACCUAUACAACUGAUGGAGGGACGGAGGAGGCUAGAGAGAGCCUGUUAUUGGAUUCAGGUCUAAGCACAAAGGCUUGUAUGUAGGUAAAUCCGCAUACUUUAAGGCUGAAGUGUGAUGGUGACGGAAACUACGGUUUCUUAAAUCUCUUGACGCCACACUUCCUAGAAAAACUUCUAGGGCUAAUUGUAUAGGUGCCCGUACCGUAAACCGACACAGGUGGGCAAGGAGAAAAUCCUAAGGUGAGCGAGUGAACUAUAGCUAAGGAACUCGGCAAAAUGGCCCCGUAACUUCGGGAGAAGGGGCGGUCUAGCGAUAGACCCGCAGUGAAAAGGCCCGGGCGACUGUUUAUCAAAAACAUAGGUCUCUGCUAAGCCGCAAGGCGAUGUAUAGGGGCUGACGCCUGCCCAGUGCUGGAAGGUUAAGGGGAAGGAUUAGUUUGACGUAAGUCGAUUUUAAACGAAGUCCUAAACUGAAGCCCCAGUGAACGGCGGCAAUAACUAUAAUUGUCCUAAGGUAGCGAAAUUCCUUGUCAGGUAAGUUCUGACCCGCACGAAAGGCGCAACGACCUGGGCGCUGUCUCGGCUAUAGACUCGGUGAAAUCUUGAUACCUGUGAAAACGCAGGUUACCCGCGACAGGACGGAAAGACCCCGUGGAGCUUUACUACAACUUGAUAUUGAAACUCGGUUUAUUAUGUAGAGGAUAGGUGGGAGACUUUGAAAUUAUGACGCUAGUUGUAAUGGAGUCAACCUUGGAAUACCACCCUUAAUGAAUUGAGUUUCUAACCUGCAACCGUGAUCCGGUUGAGGAACAGUGUCUGGUGGGUAGUUUGACUGGGGCGGUCGCCUCCUAAAAAGUAACGGAGGCGCCCAAUGGUUCCCUCAGAAUGGUUGGAAAUCAUUCUAAGAGCGCAAAGGUAUAAGGGAGCUUAACUGCGAGACCUACAAGUCAAGCAGAGACGAAAGUCGGGCUUAGCGAUCAGGCGAUUCAGAAUGGAAUGGUCGUCGCUCAACGGAUAAAAGCUACCCCGGGGAUAACAGGCUGAUGCCACCCAAUAGUUCACAUAGACGGUGGUGUUUGGCACCUCGAUGUCGGCUCGUCGCAUCCUGGAGGUGAAGUCGCUUCCAAGGGUUGGGCUGUUCGUCCAUUAAAGCGGUACGCGAGCUGGGUUCAGAACGUCGUGAGACAGUUCGGUCCCUAUCCGUCGUGGGCGUAGGAAAAUUGAGGAGUGCUGUCCCUAGUACGAGAGGACUGGGAUGGACGCACCUAUGGUGUACCUGUUGUCACGCCAGUGGCAUCGCAGGGUAGCUAUGUGCGGACGGGAUAACCGCUGAAAGCAUCUAAGCGGGAAGCCCCCUCCAAGAUGAGUUUUCCCAUUUCUUUAUGAAAGUAAGAUCCCAGAGAGACUAUCUGGUUGAUAGGCUAGGAGUGGAAGCAUAGUGAUAUGUUGAGCGGACUAGUACUAAUAGAUCGAGGAUUUAACUAC